This 442-nucleotide RNase P RNA is filed under the name Granulicella arctica. RNAcentral describes it as "Bacterial RNase P class A". It matches the Rfam family "Bacterial RNase P class A". Rfam says of the family: Ribonuclease P (RNase P) is a ubiquitous endoribonuclease, found in archaea, bacteria and eukarya as well as chloroplasts and mitochondria. Its best characterised activity is the generation of mature 5'-ends of tRNAs by cleaving the 5'-leader elements of precursor-tRNAs. Cellular RNase Ps are ribonucleoproteins. The record is from Rfam by way of RNAcentral. Lineage: Bacteria; Pseudomonadati; Acidobacteriota; Terriglobia; Terriglobales; Acidobacteriaceae.
GCAGGCGGCUGGAUGAUCGCUGCCGUCUUCGCCGCAAGGUGUUGGACGGGGGAGGAAAGUCCGAACUCCGCAGGGCAGUGUGCCGGAUAACGUCCGGGACGGAUGGUUCAAGCCAUCCGGACGGCCAGUGCAACAGAGAGCGAACCGCCUUUUGCCGCGCAAGCGACAGAAGGUAAGGGUGAAAAGGUGCGGUAAGAGCGCACCGCGCACGGCGUAAGCAGUGCGGCAUGGUAAACCCCACACGGAGCAAGACCAAAUAGGCAGGGAACUCGUCCGCUCCUCUUCAGGCGGACAGUGCGUAUCGGCCCGAUGCGCCCAGGCGAAGAGACUUGUGAAAGCAAGAGCCGAAACCUGCGGGUAGGUUGCUGGAGCGCCGCAGUAAUGCGUCGCCUAGAGGAAUGAUCGUCUAAAACAAAAUUCGGCUUACGGGCCGUCUGCAAAC